GAUGAACGCUGGCGGCGUGCCUAAUACAUGCAAGUCGAGCGAACGGACGAGAAGCUUGCUUCUCUGAUGUUAGCGGCGGACGGGUGAGUAACACGUGGAUAACCUACCUAUAAGACUGGGAUAACUUCGGGAAACCGGAGCUAAUACCGGAUAUAUUUUGAACCGCAUGGUUCAAAAGUGAAAGACGGUCUUGCUGUCACUUAUAGAUGGAUCCGCGCUGCAUUAGCUAGUUGGUAAGGUAACGGCUUACCAAGGCAACGAUGCAUAGCCGACCUGAGAGGGUGAUCGGCCACACUGGAACUGAGACACGGUCCAGACUCCUACGGGAGGCAGCAGUAGGGAAUCUUCCGCAAUGGGCGAAAGCCUGACGGAGCAACGCCGCGUGAGUGAUGAAGGUCUUCGGAUCGUAAAACUCUGUUAUUAGGGAAGAACAUAUGUGUAAGUAACUGUGCACAUCUUGACGGUACCUAAUCAGAAAGCCACGGCUAACUACGUG
Molecule: ribosomal RNA, 496 nt
Filed under: uncultured bacterium
Lineage: Bacteria
Description: partial 16S ribosomal RNA
Rfam family: Bacterial small subunit ribosomal RNA
Source: RNAcentral